Long non-coding RNA from Polypterus senegalus (gray bichir), 517 nucleotides. RefSeq lists it as uncharacterized. The transcript has 2 exons. The record is from RefSeq and is a predicted model, not a curated record. Lineage: Eukaryota; Metazoa; Chordata; Cladistia; Polypteriformes; Polypteridae.
AUUUAAAUUCCACGCUCUGUUGUAUCAAGGUGACGCACAUCAGCCUAUUUAAUGUACGGGCACUGCAAACAAUAGGCAAAACAGUUUGCUGCAGACAUCUCUUAGGUUGCGUAUAUCCACGAGCUAUUCUACUUAAGACAUUAACGUGACUGCUCCUUUGCGGAUAAUGUAAAAGUAUACGUCCAGCCUGUGAGACGAAAACGUCUGGUCGACAGCGUUUUAGGCAUCUGAAUACUGGAUGUUGAUUACCACGAUGGUAUUGGAUCGCAGACAUCGCAGUCUUUACAUUAAUAUCGCUUUAAAUUUGUAUAUACUUAUGUUAAAAAUAAUUGGUAUACACAGCCAGAACAGACAGUCAUAUGCAGCUGUUGGUACUUUUAAUUCAUUUGUAUUGGAUAGCACGUUGUAUUACUUUUUUAAAUGUGAUGUAUAAUUAGUGUUUAAUGUCAUACUUUUCACCCAUAAUGCUAAUUUAUAUUGUUUUAUCUGUGAAUGCAAUAAAGUUUUAUGAAAUCAU